RNAcentral lists this ribosomal RNA (515 nucleotides) under uncultured bacterium. RNAcentral's name for it is "bacterial SSU rRNA". It matches the Rfam family "Bacterial small subunit ribosomal RNA", at positions 62 to 507 of the family's 1533-position model. The record is from RNAcentral.
UCGAACGGUAGUAUCCUUUCGGGGAUAUGAGAGUGGCGAACGGGGAGUAACACGUAGGUAAUCUACCCUCAAAUCCGGGGACAACCCAGGGAAACUUGGGCUAAUACCGGAUGAGUGCAGCACCUUGUAUUUUCCGGUGGGUCGGUGAAUGGUUAAAUCUAAUUUACCGGACAUUGGGAAAUGAAGGUGCUGUAUAAAAGAUGGCGUAAGCUGUCGUUUGAGGAUGAGCCUGCGCUCUAUUAGUUAGUUGGUGGGGUAAUGGCCUACCAAGGCGAUGAUAGAUAGGCGGCCUUAACGGGUGGCCGCCCACACUGGGAUUGAGAUACGGCCCAGACUCCUACGGGAGGCAGCAGUCGAGAAUAGUCUACAAUGGACGAAAGUCUGAUAGUGCGACGCCGCGUGAACGAAGAAUCCCUUCGGGGUGUAAAGUUCUUUUAUAUGUGAGCAAUGCUUUUUAUGUGAAUAGCAUGAGAAGAGAGAUAUUAGCAUAUGAAUAAGCAACGGCUAACUCCGUG